GACGAACGCUGGCGGCGUGCUUAACACAUGCAAGUCGAGCGGUAAGGCCCUUUCGGGGGUACACGAGCGGCGAACGGGUGAGUAACACGUGGGUGACCUGCCUCUAGCUCUGGGAUAAGCCCGGGAAACUGGGUCUAAUACCGGAUAUGACUCCAUGACGCAUGUUGUGGGGUGGAAAGCCUUGUGCGGCUAGAGAUGGGCCCGCGGCCUAUCAGCUUGUUGGUGGGGUGAUGGCCUACCAAGGCGACGACGGGUAGCCGGCCUGAGAGGGCGACCGGCCACACUGGGACUGAGACACGGCCCAGACUCCUACGAGAGGCAGCAGUGGGGAAUCUUGCGCAAUGGGCGAAAGCCUGACGCAGCGACGCCGCGUGAGGGAUGACGGCCUGGUU
Molecule: ribosomal RNA, 392 nt
Filed under: uncultured bacterium
Lineage: Bacteria
Description: bacterial SSU rRNA
Rfam family: Bacterial small subunit ribosomal RNA
Source: RNAcentral